CUAGUACGGCGAGUGAGAGGGAAGAGCCCAAGAUUGAAAGCUGGCGUCUUCGGCGUCCGCAUUGUAAUCUCAAGAAGUGUUUUCCGCUUCGGACCAAGCCUAAGUCCCCUGGAAAGGGGCAUCAUAGAGGGUGAUAAUCCCGUACAUGGCUUGGAGCGCCCGAGGCUUUGUGAUACGCUUUCUAAGAGUCGAGUUGUUUGGGAAUGCAGCUCAAAAUGGGUGGUAAAUGCCAUCUAAGGCUAAAUAUUGGGGAGAGACCGAUAGCGAACAAGUACAGUGAUGGAAAGAUGAAAAGAACUUUGAAAAGAGAGUUAAACAGUACGUGAAAUUGCCAAAAGGGAAGGGUAGGAGGUCAGAGAUGCGGCCUGGGAUUCAGCCUUGCUUUUGCUUGGUGUUUUUCCCAGAUUGCAGGCCAACGUCGGUUUUGGGCACUGGAGAAGGGUAGGAGGAACGUGGCACCUCUCGGGGUGUGUUAUAGCCUCCUACUGGAUACAGCGACCGAGACCGAGGACAGCAGCGUACUCGCAAGAGCGGGCCUUCGGGCACCUUUACGCUUAGGGCGUUGGCAUAAUGGCCCUCUACCACCCGUCU
RNAcentral lists this ribosomal RNA (591 nucleotides) under Moesziomyces antarcticus. Its description in RNAcentral is "partial large subunit ribosomal RNA". It matches the Rfam family "Eukaryotic large subunit ribosomal RNA", at positions 80 to 654 of the family's 3401-position model. The record is from RNAcentral. Lineage: Eukaryota; Fungi; Basidiomycota; Ustilaginomycetes; Ustilaginales; Ustilaginaceae.